GCUCACUCUCAUUCUUGCUCUGAGCAUUGCUGAAAUUUUAAAAGAGAAAGCAAUUGAUCAUUGAUGCUGCACUUAAUACUUAUUUGUCCAUCGCAAUUGCUUUUGCAUUGAAUAUGCUUGGUAGCAUGUGACAAUUAAAAUUCACUGUGCCAUGCUUUUAUAUAUUUUUCAUCUAUUUUCUAAUGAAAGAACAUACGUUCUGUAGGUAGAACUCAAAAAGGUAUGUCUGGGAGUCAAAAGUCUGCAUUCUUUUUUGAAAUAUAUUUUUCUUGGAACUACUGCUUGAAUUAUUUAUUGUUGAUUUAUUUGUUAAGGCCUCAACUUCAACUUUUCUUUGUCUGUGAAUCGAGUCACUUUUACUUAGGGAUGUAAUCGAACCGAGUCCAGCGUUGGCUUGUUCAGG
RNAcentral lists this unclassified non-coding RNA (403 nucleotides) under Hevea brasiliensis (rubber tree). The record is from RNAcentral. Lineage: Eukaryota; Viridiplantae; Streptophyta; Magnoliopsida; Malpighiales; Euphorbiaceae.